UGUCUCCGCAGUGCUCGUCGACCUGCGGGAAGGGCCUGCAGUCCCGGGUGGUGCAGUGCAUGCACAAGGUCACAGGGCGCCACGGCAGCGAGUGCCCCGCCCUCUCGAAGCCUGCCCCCUACAGACAGUGCUACCAGCAGGUCUGCAACGACAGGAUCAACGCCAACACCAUCACCUCCCCCCGCCUUGCUGCUCUGACCUACAAAUGCACACGAGACCAGUGGACGGUGUAUUGCCGGGUCAUCCGAGAAAAGAACCUCUGCCAGGACAUGCGGUGGUACCAGCGCUGCUGCCAGACCUGCAGGGACUUCUAUGCAAACAAGAUGCGCCAGCCACCGCCGAGCUCGUGACGUGCAGUCCCGGAGGUCGCUCAAAGCUCAGACUCAGGUCUGAAACCCACCUACCCCCAAGCGUACCAGCCUUGUGGCCACGCCCCCACAAGGCUGCUGCAAGAAUCCAACUGCAUAGAACAUAAGCGUGGACUUGGCGUUUGCCAUUAGUGCUUCUGUACUUAAUAUAUUGUUAACAGCCACUGGAUGGCUUUCUACAGUGAGGAAAAAGUAGGCACGAGUCACAAAGUAACUUUAAUUUCCAGGAUUCCAGGUACCUCGAAGGGAAGCACCUCUGGCAGCCAACCGUCAAAAGAGAGACAUCAUUUAGUGUUCCUGUCUUGGCUCGCUUUUGACAUUUGAAUUUCCAGUGCUUGGUAUAUCAUGGAGAAAACAUCCCCAAAACGACACAUGUUAGAAAAGGCUUUAUUCUGAAAGCCGGCGACACCCUGGAGGGAGGGGCAGGUGUUGGUGAGCCUCUGCCCAUGGAGAGGGCCGGGCUGCUUAGCCCACGUUUCUCUUCGUCUUCCUUCUUGACCACAUGAGAACAAGGAUGAUGCCUCCGUGCCCGUCUCUGACAACAUAGUCUCUAAAUCCUAGGUGUUGCCUUGGAAGUCUCGUCCCUGAGAGUGUAAAUCUAUAUAUGCCAACGAGGACACCAGUGCCACGCAGUUCAUACCACCCACCUGGGAAGAAUGUUCCAAGAGAGUCUGGGUUUGGGGAAGCAUCUAAUUUUCAAAGCUCUGCUGUCCACCAUGUAGGGAAACAGAAGGGCCUCUCUUCAAGGUGCUGUGAAAUAAGAAACGGUAAUUGCGGCGAUGGGGUUGCUUCCUAAGGCAAAGAGAUGCUGUACCACAUCCCCGUGGCUUUCUACCGACCGUGGCCAUGUAUCUGAAGGUAAGAUGACAUUUGGGACCUCUGAGGACACAAGCCCAGGCCUAGGAUCUGUAGUGCAAGGCCUGACUGCUCUAUCCUGGCACGGAGCAGCCUGAUGUGCCGGGACCAGGGGAGGAACACCAUCUGGCUGGCACUGCUGCACACCCGCCGAGCCUUCCUGUAGCCCCAGACUUUGUGAUACCCGUUAUCAUCUCGCCUGUCAUCACUGACCCAUCUUCUUGGUGGGGCAAGGAUGAUGAAGGUCCUUCCCUCCUGCAGCCCCCUCACGCCUGGCAGCAGAGGGGCCUCUGAGAGCACAGAGGAUGGUAGACCCCUAUGUGCAAGCAGGCCGGGCAGGCUGGGGACAGGGACCCUAGAUGCCAGGGGGCCUGUUUUGCUCACCAACUUGGUGGGCAGUUCAUGGGUGCUUAUCUUCUAGGACUUUACCAUAAGCAACACCUCCUCCCUGAUUUCAG
Molecule: small RNA, 1681 nt
Filed under: Pongo abelii (Sumatran orangutan)
Lineage: Eukaryota; Metazoa; Chordata; Mammalia; Primates; Hominidae
Description: retained intron
Source: RNAcentral